GCCGGCGUGAUGAAACUGGUAGACGUGCCAGACUCAAAAUCUGGUGGGCUUUUAGCCCGUGUCGGUUCGACUCCGACCGCCGGCA
Molecule: transfer RNA, 85 nt
Filed under: subsurface metagenome
Description: tRNA-Leu
Rfam family: tRNA
About the family: Transfer RNA (tRNA) molecules are approximately 80 nucleotides in length.
Source: RNAcentral